AUUGAACGCUGGCGGCAGGCUUAACACAUGCAAGUCGAGCGGGGGAAGGUAGCUUGCUACCGGACCUAGCGGCGGACGGGUGAGUAAUGCUUAGGAAUCUGCCUAUUAGUGGGGGACAACAUCUCGAAAGGGAUGCUAAUACCGCAUACGUCCUAAGGGAGAAAGCAGGGGAUCUGUGGACCUUGCGCUAAUAGAUGAGCCUAAGUCGGAUUAGCUAGUCGGUGGGGUAAAGGCCUACCAAGGCGACGAUCUGUAGCGGGUCUGAGAGUAUGAGCCGCCACACUGGGACUGGGACACGGCCCAGACUCCUACGGGAGGCAGCAGUGGGGAAUAUUGGACAAUGGGGGGAACCCUGAUCCAGCCAUGCCGCGUGUGUGAAGAAGGCCUUAUGGUUGUAAAGCACUUUAAGCGAGGAGGAGGCUACUUUAGUUAGUACCUAGAGAUAGUGGACGUUACUCGCAGAAUAAGCACCGGCUAACUCUGUGCCAGCCGCCGCCGUAA
This 501-nucleotide ribosomal RNA is filed under the name uncultured bacterium. RNAcentral's name for it is "partial 16S ribosomal RNA". It matches the Rfam family "Bacterial small subunit ribosomal RNA", at positions 30 to 523 of the family's 1533-position model. The record is from RNAcentral.